Molecule: ribosomal RNA, 256 nt
Filed under: uncultured bacterium
Lineage: Bacteria
Description: partial 16S ribosomal RNA
Rfam family: Bacterial small subunit ribosomal RNA
Source: RNAcentral
UACAGAGGUCUCGAGCGUUAGGCGGAAUCACUGGGCUUAAAGCGUGUGUAGGCGGAUCGUUAAGUGCCUUGUGAAAUCCCACGGCUCAACCGUGGAACUGCUUGGCAUACUGGCGGUCUUGAGCAACCUAGGGGCGAGCGGAACAAAUGGUGGAGCGGUGAAAUGCGUAGAUAUCAUUUGGAACGCCAAUGGUGAAAACAGCUCGCUGGGGGUUUGCUGACGCUGAGACGACGAAAGCCAGGGGAGCAAAGCGGGG